GGGUAGGUACAAUACGCUGACGUCACGCAUCCGGGACUCCGGUCACGUGGGAAGAAACCCGGAAGUAUCGCCGUGAAUCACAUGAGAGUUGCAAAUGCGAUGUUGUGUAUUAGGCUGUACAUCAUAUUAACGUAAAGAGAGUGAUAAUAUAUAUCCUUUCAUCUAUUCCCGAGUGACUCAAAGGGAUAUUGGACCUUAUUUUCAGAUUACAGACAACACGAGAGGGUGCUCCAAACUUUUUAAUCAGGACUGCAUUGUUUGUUCGCUCCCGGGGUUACAUAGACUGAAACGGGGAAGCGUGACGAGUUUGUUUACAUGGUGCUGUAAACUCCAACCCAGGAGGACACUUCAGAGGAAUCAAGGUGUCUGUGAUGUUGAAACACUAAAGGAAGAAGAGGAGGACCACCAUUUGUUUCCUGAUCAGAACACAAGAGAAGAAUCUAACAGUGGUUUGGGGGCAUUGCAAGACCAUGAUUACCUGGAAACAUCUCCUAUUAUGGAAGAGCACAACAUCAUGCUCGCAACAUUUGUGUCCUGGAUCAGUUUUUCUUGUUUCUCUGCUGUAUGAGGCAGGGGCUUCUUUCCGCAGAUUUAGCUCAUACAGCAAACGGACGGUUUGGACUACAGCCCUCUACUUCCCGAUUGAAUGACAUCCAAAGAAGAGUUUUUUUUUACUAACUCUCACCCACAGGAAUACGUCAGUCGCAAGCAAAGCUCAAAUGGCUCUGCUAAGUUAAGUUGCUGUUAAAUCACAACACACUAAACAAACUACUACACAAUCAAAACUCGAUAUAUAUUUCUGAAGGAGGGACUUCAUAGAACAAGGAAGAAAUCAGCCCGAUUUUAGGACAGUGAAAACAGCGCUAUACAGAUAAGUAAUUAUGUGAAAAAUACUGUGUUUUUUUACACACAAAACAUGAACACACGCUAUAUUGCACACCAUAAACACAAUCAUAGUUUAAAAACACAGGAAAAACAGGACUUUUAAUCUGUCCAAGGCAACAGUCAGUCGAAUAUGCAUAACAUGGGCUAAUGUCCAAACAUCUUUUCACUUCACAAGAGGUGCAAAGUUUGGACUCUCAUUCUCACGGCACCCAUUCACUGCAGAGGAUCCAAUUGUAAGCAAUGUAAUGCUGAAUUUCUCCAAAUCUGUUCCAAUGAAAAAGCAAAUGCAUCUAUAUAUUGGGUGAAAAAUUCCUUUAAUCCCAAAAACAGACUUUUUUCAUUUAAAUGUUUUUACUUUGCUUACUAUUACAAUUUGUACAGUAAAUAGAAAAUAUACAUUGGAACAAAUUUAUAAACAGUGGUGUGAAAAAGUGUUAGCCCCAUCCAGAUUUCUCAUGUUAUUGCAUAUUUAUGUCACACUUUUAUGUUUCAGAUCAUCAAACAAAUGUAAAUAUUAGUCAAAGAAGAUAACACAAGUGAACACAUCAUGCAGUUUUUAAAUGAAGGCUUUUAUUAUUAAGGGAAAAAAAAUCUAAACUACAUGGCCCUGUGUAAAAAAGUGUAUUAGUACCCAUUG
Long non-coding RNA from Paramisgurnus dabryanus, 1522 nucleotides. RefSeq lists it as uncharacterized. NCBI's taxonomy places the organism in Eukaryota, Metazoa, Chordata, Actinopteri, Cypriniformes, Cobitidae. The record is from RefSeq and is a predicted model, not a curated record.